CGCCCCCAGGCUAUGAGGAAAGAGACACCUUGUUGGUGGUGGUGUUCUUAUAUCAGUGAGGGGCAGAGCAGAUGAUCAAACUCAUCCUAGCUUGAUGCCUGUCUUGGUGACCAAAGCUGUCUUACGCUUAGAACUCAUAC
Mus musculus (house mouse) is the source of this 140-nucleotide non-coding RNA. NCBI's taxonomy places the organism in Eukaryota, Metazoa, Chordata, Mammalia, Rodentia, Muridae. The record is from Rfam.